This 408-nucleotide unclassified non-coding RNA is filed under the name fungal sp. Its description in RNAcentral is "partial internal transcribed spacer region". Lineage: Eukaryota; Fungi. The record is from RNAcentral.
AAGUCGUAACAAGGUUUCCGUAGGUGUGAAGCGUUAUCCUUGCACAAUCAAUGACACUUUCAGACACUGACUGCUUGGGGAAACAAGGCCUAUAGAACUACCGCUCAAAAUUGUAACUGUUCCAAUAUUCGCACGGGCCAGAGGUCUCUGAAUCAAAACUACUUUCCGGGCUAUGAUUUACCAGAGAUUGCAAGCUUCGCGGGUUACAAGAGCAGGAUGAAUGUUCACGGGGGGUUUUAACGUUUGGAUACGUGUUAAUGAUCCUUCCGCAGACCGCAUCUCGCGGGCAGGAGCUAGGCCAAAGGGUCCCCAUGCCCCCUUACAACCCCACAGUUUAAUGUGAAGCUCAAUGUAAUACAUUGGGUAAAAAAACCGAACAACCGUUAACAAUGGAUAUCUUGGUUCUCC